Molecule: ribosomal RNA, 228 nt
Filed under: Pyxine endochrysina
Lineage: Eukaryota; Fungi; Ascomycota; Lecanoromycetes; Caliciales; Caliciaceae
Description: partial 18S ribosomal RNA
Source: RNAcentral
CCCGGGUUUUCCGUAGGUGUCUUUCUCAGGCUCGCCUACGGCCCGGGUCGACUUAAAAAACCCGCUCAGUCGAUUGCUUCGGCGAUCGGCCACGCAGGUCUUCUGUUCUGGAAGCUGUUCGGAAUUAACGCCGAAGAGUAACCAGCAGCUCUUGGAUCGUUGUUGAGGCGCCCAAGAGUUCACAGAUCACAUGCCUGCGACCACGUUAAUGUCGUGGCUCUGAUAUGA